GAGAGUUUGAUCAUGGCUCUGAUUGAACGUCGCGGAUGUUUACACAUGCAAUGAACGGCAGCACGACUUCGGUCUGCGGCGAGUGUGGCGAACGGGUGAGUAAUGCAUCGGAAAACGCCUAGUAGCGGGGAUAACUACGCGAAAGCAGAGCAUUACCGCAUACGCCCUUCGGGGAAAGCGGGGACCUUCGGGCCUCGCACUAUUAGAGCGGCCGAUAUCGGAUUAGCUAGUUGGUGGGUAACGGCUCAUCAAGGCGAUGAUCCGUAGUUAAUGAGAGGGACGACCAGCCACACUGGGACUGAGACACGGCCCAGACUCCUACGGAGGCAGGGAAUUUUUGGACAAUGGGGGAACUCCUGAUCUGCGCUAUCCUGGGCGUGUGCGAUGGAAGGCCUGGCUAGAAAGCACUUUUGGCAGGUGAAACGGCAUUGGAUAAUACCUCGCAACUGACGGUACCGGAGAAUAAGCACUGGCUAACUACGUGCCAGCAGCCGCGGUAAUACGUAGGGCAAGCGUUAAUCGGAAUUACCGGGUAAGCGUGCGUGCAGGCGGUUCGGAAAGAAAGAUGUGAAAUCCCAGAGCUUAACUUUUGGAACUGCAUUUUUAACUACCGAGCUAGAGUGUCAGAGGGAGGUGGAAUUCCGCGUAGCAGUGAAAUGCGUAGAUAUGCGGAGGACAACGAUGGCGAAGGCAGCUCCCUGGGAUAACACUGACGUUUCAUGCACGAAAGCGUGGGGAGCAACAGGAUGCCAGAUACCCCGGUAGUCCACGCCCUAAACGAUGCCAAUCUUACUGGUUGGGCCUUCGGGCUCGGUAGCGCAGUUAACGCGAAGUUGACCGCCUGGGGAGUACGGUCGCAAGAUUAAAAAACUCAAAGGACCACGGGGACCCGCACAAGCGGUGGAUGAUGUGAUUAAUUCGAUGCAACGCGUGAAAACCUUACCUACCCUUGACAUGUCUGGAAUCCCGAAGAGAUUUGGGAGUGCUCGCAAGAGAACCGGAACACAGGUGCUGUAUGGCUAAGCCGCCGCCUGUGUCGUGAGAUGUUGGGUUAAGUCCCGCAACGAGCGCAACCCUUGUCAUUAGUUGCCACGAAAGGGCACUCUAUCGAGACUGCUGCGGAAGGUCCGGAGAAGGUGGGGAUGCGACGCUCGGUCUCGGGCGGUCUUGCGGUAAAUACACGUCAUAAUGGUCGGGACAGAGGGUCGCCAACCCGCGAGGGGGAGCCAAUCCCAGAAACCUCGAUCGUAGUCCGGAUCGCAGUCUUGCAACUCGACUGCGUGAAGUCGGAAUCGCCAGUAACGCAGAUCGGCAUGUCGCGGUGAAUACGUUCCCGGGUCUUGUACACACCGCCCGUCACACCAUGGGAGUGGGUUUUACCAGAAGUAGUUAAAGCCUGAAUCCGCAAGGAGGAAGAUUACCACGGUAGAUUCAUGACUGGGGUAAAGUCGUACGGCAAACUCCC
This 1465-nucleotide ribosomal RNA is filed under the name uncultured Bordetella sp. RNAcentral describes it as "partial 16S-23S ribosomal RNA intergenic spacer". It matches the Rfam family "Bacterial small subunit ribosomal RNA". Lineage: Bacteria; Pseudomonadati; Pseudomonadota; Betaproteobacteria; Burkholderiales; Alcaligenaceae. The record is from RNAcentral.